RNAcentral lists this transfer RNA (74 nucleotides) under Gemmatimonadaceae bacterium. Its description in RNAcentral is "tRNA-Leu". It matches the Rfam family "tRNA". Rfam says of the family: Transfer RNA (tRNA) molecules are approximately 80 nucleotides in length. The record is from RNAcentral. Lineage: Bacteria; Pseudomonadati; Gemmatimonadota; Gemmatimonadia; Gemmatimonadales; Gemmatimonadaceae.
GCCGUCGUAGACCAACUGGAAGAGUCAGCGGAUUCAAAACCCGCGUGUUGGUGGUUCGAACCCACUCGACGGUA